CGCAGCCGCGGUAAUUCCAGCUCCAAUAGCGUAUAUUAAAGUUGUUGCAGUUAAAAAGCUCGUAGUUGAAUUUCGGGAUCAAUUAAUUGGUCGUGCCUCUGGUACGUACUGAUUUUAUUGGUUUCUCCCUUCUGACGAACCAUGACGUCAUUAAUUUGGUGUCGUGGAGAAUCAGGACUGUUACUUUGAAAAAAUUAGAGUGUUUAAAGCAAGCUAACGCUUGAAUACAUUAGCAUGGAAUAAUGAAAUAGGACGUUUGAUCCUAUUUUGUUGGUUUCUAGGAUCGACGUAAUGAUUAAUAGGGAUAGUUGGGGGCAUUAGUAUUCAAUUGUCAGAGGUGAAAUUCUUGGAUUUAUUGAAGACUAACUACUGCGAAAGCAUUUGCCAAGGAUGUUUUCAUUAAUCAAGAACGAAAGUUAGGGGAUCGAAGACGAUCAGAUACCGUCGUAGUCUUAACCAUAAACUAUGCCGACUAGGGAUCGGAUGAUGUUAAUUUUUAAUGACUCAUUCGGCGCCUUAC
This 520-nucleotide unclassified non-coding RNA is filed under the name uncultured Glomus. RNAcentral's name for it is "SSU rRNA". It matches the Rfam family "Eukaryotic small subunit ribosomal RNA", at positions 569 to 1091 of the family's 1831-position model. The record is from RNAcentral. Lineage: Eukaryota; Fungi; Glomeromycota; Glomeromycetes; Glomerales; Glomeraceae.